GCAGCACGCCCACGCAGCUACAAGCCUGCAGAAGAUUUCCUUUCUACACACCUGGAAAUGAUGAGGGCGAGCUGCGUAAAAAAACAGUUGGACCCAGGGAUCCUCGCGGGAACUUAGUUCUCAUAUGGUGAACCUAGUUUUUCAUGGUGUACCUGUUUUCCUUCCGUUGCCCUGGAUCUCGACUGCCUCCCUUGUUCCUCGACUCCUCGCUCGUCCCACGACUCUGACGCCUCUCUCUCGCCCCGGAUCUCCUGCAUGCCCCAUGGACUGCCUCGUUCCUUCCGUCCUCAUUCAACAUUUACGGUAACACUUAACAGUUAAUCUGCACACAUAGUCACACACAUACACUCUUGGAUUUUGUCACACACCAUUCUAUUGAUUAUUAGUAUUGUUAAUUAUUAUUAUUAUUAUUAUAUGUAUAUAUGUUUACUAUAUAUAUGAUAAAUCAUUGGACAUUACCGCACCCUGAUGUCAGUCUGCUGUCAUCUCUCUUGCAAACCAUAACAGAAAUUUAGCAAAUUGUUGAAUAAUGUAUGACUAAAUUGGAAACAAACUAGUUUUAUUUUAGAUUGGCGGGCAAGCUCACCUGUGCGUACAACAAAAGUAGUGGUAGGGUAAGCAGUCUUGCCCCUUUGCUACCGUCUUUAAUACUAAACAGAAUUCAGUACAGUUUGAGUCAUUUGGAAAUAUUAAUUAAGCCCCACUUGCUGUUGCACAGAUGUUCUGAUGAUUAGCUUACAGAAGACGCUUCAAGGUAGUUGUAUUUUUACCAGAGAAAAUGGAGCCAAAGGGUUUAUGUGUCUUGUUGUCGACCUUGCAAAGGUAAAAUGUGUCUGUGGAGAGGCGGAGCCAGAACUCCGACAGCGAGGCAGGGCACACCGGAACCCGGCCCAAGAUGGCGGCGAGGAGGCGUGGACUGCGAGCAAGCAGCGAGGCGUGGCGCGCUGGAGUCAAAUAUUAUCAGGUGCGUGGGUCGCCCAGCUGGGCACAAUUUAAAUCUCCUCUCACACUGUAUUAAAGGGCAGCGGCCGUAAACGCCGGGGGGAGAGAGGGAGAGAGAAAGGAGCCAGAAGGAAGCCGAUGCUGAGCGCGAGAGGUAAAGAGCUCAAGGAAGACGAUGCAUGCAGCCGAAAAGCUGGAGCAGAAGAGCGAGCGGAAUUAAAUUAAGACUGGCUGGACAGCAGUAGUGUUGAAUAUCUUAAAAUGUGUUGUACGGCAAUUCCAACAUUGACCACGGUGCCAGCUGGAAAGUAGAGUGGCGCUUUUUAUCAUUUUCAGCAGUGUGCAUUGUCGAGAUCCACCGGCAAUGGGGACAUAUGAAUCUCUUCCCUACUGUAAAUAUGAAUAAUUUCUAAUGUAUGGAUCGAAUGAAUUAAAUGGUAAAUGUGU
Long non-coding RNA from Nerophis ophidion (straightnose pipefish), 1389 nucleotides. RefSeq lists it as uncharacterized. The record is from RefSeq and is a predicted model, not a curated record. The transcript is spliced from 2 exons. Lineage: Eukaryota; Metazoa; Chordata; Actinopteri; Syngnathiformes; Syngnathidae.